Molecule: long non-coding RNA, 521 nt
Filed under: Helianthus annuus (common sunflower)
Lineage: Eukaryota; Viridiplantae; Streptophyta; Magnoliopsida; Asterales; Asteraceae
Source: RNAcentral
UUCCGAACUCAUGUCGAAACGGAUUCUUAAAUGAUGAGUCAAUGCUGUCAAGAACUUCCUGUAUAGCGGCUCUGAUUUCAGCAGCAGGCACAUGGUGAAAUGGUUAAAAUGGGUCCCAAAAAUGCAAUAUUUUUGUUUGGAUGGCGGUUUUAGAUCGUAUUCCCACACUGACUACACUAUGGGAUAAGAACUGUUGGGGCGGAGACGUGAAAUGUUGUCUGUGUGAAGAUGGCGAUGAAACAGCUGAACACAUUCUUUGUUUGUGCAGGGUAGCAUAAAUUGUCUGGUAUCACAUCAGUCAGUGGUGCAAGGAAAAAAAUAUUCGAAACUGCACUACAAAAAAGACUGGCAUUCAGGACUAAAAAAUCAGUCUUUGAUGCUCCCUAAUCAGUACCUAAUGGUUAUCAGGGACUGAUAUGCCAGUCCCCAGUCAGUGCCAGAUACCUAGUGUCACACCCCCAAAUAACCACCUAGGGCAUAUCCCUAUUGGAGGUGCAACGAUCCAACAAAGAGCCACCAAC